CCUACGGGAGGCAGCAGUAGGGAAUCUUGCGCAAUGGGCGAAAGCCUGACGCAGCAACGCCGCGUGCGGGAAGAAGGCUCUCGGGUUGUAAACCGCUUUCAGUAGGAACGAAAAUGACGGUACCUGCAGAAGAAGGUGCGGCCAACUACGUGCCAGCAGCCGCGGUAACACGUAGGCACCAAGCGUUGUCCGGAUUUAUUGGGCGUAAAGAGCUCGUAGGCGGUUCAGUAAGUCGGGUGUGAAAACUCAGGGCUCAACCCUGAGCUGCCACCCGAUACUGCUGUGACUUGAGUCUGGUAGGGGAGUGGGGAAUUCCUGGUGUAGCGGUGAAAUGCGCAGAUAUCAGGAGGAACACCGGUGGCGAAGGCGCCACUCUGGGCCACGACUGACGCUGAGGAGCGAAAGCAUGGGUAGCAAACAGGAUUAGAUACCCUGGUAGUCCAUGCCGUAAACGUAGGGCACUAGGUGUGGGUUCCAACCAACGGAAUCCGUGCCGUCGCUAACGCAUUAAGUGCCCCGCCUGGGGAGUACGGCCGCAAGGCUAAAACUCAAAGGAAUUGACGGGGGCCCGCACAAGCAUCGGAGCGUGUUGCUUAAUUUCGAUGAUACGCGAAAAACCUUACCUGGGUUUGACAUGUACGGAAAAAGCCGCAGAGAUGCGGUGUCCUUCGGGGUCGUACACAGGUGGUGCAUGGCUGUCCUCAGCUCGUGUCGUGA
This 717-nucleotide ribosomal RNA is filed under the name uncultured bacterium. Its description in RNAcentral is "bacterial SSU rRNA". It matches the Rfam family "Bacterial small subunit ribosomal RNA", at positions 338 to 1070 of the family's 1533-position model. The record is from RNAcentral.